GCCAGGGUGGCAUAGUGGUUAGCGCAACUGCCUGGUGAGCAGGAGACACGGGUUCGAAUUCCGACCUUGGCA
Non-coding RNA from Schistocerca nitens (vagrant locust), 72 nucleotides. Lineage: Eukaryota; Metazoa; Arthropoda; Insecta; Orthoptera; Acrididae. The record is from the annotation of a RefSeq genome assembly.